AUGAAACAGUUACACAAAAUGUAAAAGUGAAGAAUAUAACCAUCUGAGAUUGACUUCCAUUUGAAUCCUAAACACAAUUUACCUUAAUAAUAUAUAAGAAACCAACAGCAGAUA
Long non-coding RNA from Hibiscus syriacus, 114 nucleotides. RefSeq lists it as uncharacterized. NCBI's taxonomy places the organism in Eukaryota, Viridiplantae, Streptophyta, Magnoliopsida, Malvales, Malvaceae. The transcript is spliced from 3 exons. The record is from RefSeq and is a predicted model, not a curated record.